Molecule: unclassified non-coding RNA, 1216 nt
Filed under: Hevea brasiliensis (rubber tree)
Lineage: Eukaryota; Viridiplantae; Streptophyta; Magnoliopsida; Malpighiales; Euphorbiaceae
Source: RNAcentral
AAAAAAAUAAGACAAUUUAAAAACUUAAAGCAAAUCAAACCAUAUAAAGGAAGUCAUGACAAGGUAAGAUAAAAAAAAUCCUGAGGUGGAUUAUUGUGCACCAAAAUUACAAGUUCUCAAACUUCCAUCACUCAGCAGAGGAUAGAAACUGAAAUCUCAGGCAGGCAGCCACCUUCUCUAUCUAACUAUAUCGGCAAAGGGAAACUCAAUUCGAUUUGCAAAUGGAUUGUACUCUUCAAUGGGUUCUUUCUUAUUGCAGCCACUUUCACCCGCAAUGUGAUUCGUUCUCAAAUUUGAAGAUAAGUUCCUCGCCAUCCCUUCUUUUAAAGAAAAAGGAUCGGGUGUGAAAGAGAAAAGAGAGAAGCCUGAAUUUCUAGACUCCUCAGUUUCACCGGAUCCAGCAGUCGUUGACUUCUCCAUUGUGUGCUGUCCUACUGGAGCCAUCCUUUGGACUUUAGCUUCCUCUUUUAACCUACCAACUGUUGAAACCCUGGCAUUUUCCUUGAUGCAUCUGUCACUGGUUGGAGCAACUGACUGAAAAACAGGCAAGUGGCCAUGGUUAAUGGGUGGAGGGAUCAGAUGCUGCAGGGCACCAUGCUGCAUGAAAUGGGCAUUCGCAUUUAAACCAUAUGAAAAUGGAGUAGCAAAUACAUAAUGGUUUGGAUGAGGAAAUGGAAUGAACCCAUUUACAGGAGUAGUCGCCCAAGAAAGUGGAGUUUGAUAAUAAUAGUCCAUAGCAGGAACUUGAAACCUUGGGAAGUGUGUGCCUUGACUGUGGACUGGUGGACGCAAGGAUUGAGGUCGCAUGCCAAGAGUCCCAUUCACAUUUGCAUUUGUUGAAGCAGCUGUGGUCGGGAAACUUCCCACAGUAGUUCCUACAGAAUUUGGUGUCAGGGAACUGACAUCCUCACCUUUAGCAGCAGCAGUUCUUUUUUCUUGUGCAACUUCGUAGCAUUCAGCAAAAGCAUUCUGCAUAACUUCAGAAGUUUCUCUUCCUUCAGAGUUUUUGCUGCAAUCUUCUGAAUCUGACGUCGAUGAUGAUUCUGAAUUAUGUGGAUUUGAAAAGGAUGUAGCACUGUCUCCCUCACUAAGGCAGGAUGAGCAAUUAUCAGAAUUAGAGGAGCUGCUUUGUGAUAAACCCAAAGUCCUCUGAGAGGAAGACCUCGGGAUCAGACAAGAAUCAACUUCAUCUUCAGCCACUUCUUUCACAUAACAA